AUGAUUACUGAUAAUGCGUUGGUGGCGUUUGAAUGCUUCCAUGCAAUUGAGCACUGCAAAAAAGAACAUGAAUCUUUCUGUGCGUAUAAGUUGGAUCUGUCCAAGGCGUAUGAUAGGGUUGAUUGGGACUUCCUUAGAAGAACGAUGCAGAGUUUAGGUUUCGCUCCCCUAUGGGUGGAAUGGAUAAUGUCCUGUGUGACCUCGGUGAGCUACUCGGUAAAAUUCAAUGGAACCCUUCUUGAUUCGUUCUCCCGGUCCAGAGGUCUUCACCAAGGUGAUCCACUAUCUCCUUUUUUGUUCUUAUUUGUCGCUGAUGGCCUUUCUGCUCUCAUGCAUCUUGAAGCAAUCUAG
Molecule: ribosomal RNA, 351 nt
Filed under: Triticum aestivum (bread wheat)
Lineage: Eukaryota; Viridiplantae; Streptophyta; Magnoliopsida; Poales; Poaceae
Description: partial small subunit ribosomal RNA
Source: RNAcentral